ACAAGACAGAAGAAGACUAGGUCUGUCAAGGCUAUACAGAAACUGUCCAACACUUGGACUUUGCACUGUUGCUGAAUGUGGUUAUUAGCUCCGAGAGUUUUUUUUUUAAUAUUUUGGGGUUUUCUUUAUAAAGGAUAGAUCAUCUACAAAUACUUCUUGCUUUUCAAUUUAGAUGAUGUUUCCUUUCCUGCCCAAUUUAUCUGGUUAAAACGUCUGAUACACUGUUGAAUAGAAGAGGCAAGGGCACAUGUUCAUGUCUUGUUCCUGAUAUUGGGAGAAAGCAUCCCGUUUUUCACCACUCUGGCCAGGACAGCCUAUCUGUGCAGGAGGCAUUGCUGGCACCCCGUGGGGACUGAGGACCAAGGAGGAGCUGCUCCCCCACACACGGUUCGUACUUCUGCUCUGUGAAGAGAGACAACUGUGCCCUGUCACCUUCACUGAACUAUGAGAAACGGGGUUUCACCAUGUUAGCCAAGAUGGUCUCGAUCUCCUGACCUCGCGAUCCGCCCGCCUUGGCCUCCCAAAGUGCUGGGAUUAUGCAUUCUCUCUUUACAUCACAAUGACCAUGACCUUGGAUAUGGAGUCCACUCAAAAGUAAUCUGAACUAAUAAACAAAUUCUGCAAGGUUGAAGAAUACAAGGUCAAUAAAAAUAAUUAAUUAUAUUUCUAUGUGAUACAAUAAACAAUCUUAAAAUUAAGAAAAAAAAUUCAUUUACAGUAGAAUAACAAAAAAAUACUUAAAAAUAAGUUUAAUCGUGAGAUACAAAUUGGUACCCUGAAAACUACAAAACAUUCCUGAACAAUAUUAAAGGUCUAAAUAAAUGGAAAA
Molecule: long non-coding RNA, 829 nt
Filed under: Homo sapiens (human)
Lineage: Eukaryota; Metazoa; Chordata; Mammalia; Primates; Hominidae
Description: novel transcript
Source: RNAcentral